AUUGAACGCUGGCGGCAUGCCUUACACAUGCAAGUCGAACGGCAGCACGGGAGCAAUCCUGGUGGCGAGUGGCGAACGGGUGAGUAAUAUAUCGGAACGUGCCCAGUCGUGGGGAUAACGUAGCGAAAGCUACGCUAAUACCGCAUACGAUCUAUGGAUGAAAGCGGGGGAUCGCAAGACCUCGCGCGAUUGGAGCGGCCGAUAUCAGAUUAGGUAAUUGGUGAGGUAAAGGCUCACCAAGCCGACGAUCUGUAGCUGGUCUGAGAGGACGACCAGCCACACUGGGACUGAGACACGGCCCAGACUCCUACGGGAGGCAGCAGUGGGGAAUUUUGGACAAUGGGCGCGAAGCCUGAUCCAGCAAUGCCGCGUGCAGGAUGAAGGCC
This 386-nucleotide ribosomal RNA is filed under the name uncultured bacterium. RNAcentral describes it as "bacterial SSU rRNA". It matches the Rfam family "Bacterial small subunit ribosomal RNA", at positions 30 to 416 of the family's 1533-position model. The record is from RNAcentral.